GCUUAAUUAGUUUAAAUAAAAUAAUGAAUUGUGGUUUCAAAGAUGAUUAAUCAUUAAGCA
RNAcentral lists this transfer RNA (60 nucleotides) under Proknekalia peringueyi. Its description in RNAcentral is "Argas peringueyi tRNA-His". The record is from RNAcentral. Lineage: Eukaryota; Metazoa; Arthropoda; Arachnida; Ixodida; Argasidae.